GUGACUCUACAUUCAGGUUAAUACCUAUAUAUAGGAAUCCUGAAAGAUCACUCAAAUCUAAUUUUAAUCCUUUCAUACCCAUAGUAAAUACCCAACUAUACACUUAUGAAUCCAUCAUACAUACACAUGUGUGUUGUAUAUGUCUUUGUAGAUUUAACAUUUUUCUGCAUUUUAAGAUUUUUUUGACAGUACCAUACUCAUACACUGUGAUCACAUUGGCAUCCCUAUCCUUUCCCAUAAUCCUUCCACUCCCACUAAGCAUCUCUUUUCCCUAGCUGGUCUACUCCUACAUCCUCGUCCAACCACCUUUUUAUUAGGAUCCCAUGUAGACAGUCAUAAUUGCUAUAACCCUGUUGUUUUCAGAAAACAGUGUUCUUUCUCAAUCCUUCCCACUCUUCAACUCCCACAAUGCUUCACUUUCUUCUGUUAUGUUCCCUGGGCUUCAGAGGGUGUAGCAUAUAAGACACUCAGAUGCGUUGAAGGGGGAUGUCCUUCUGUAUGCUGUGAAUAUAUGUUUCUGUCAUUGGUUCAUGAAUAAAACUCUUUUGACCAAUUGGCAUGUGGGUAUAGCCAGGCAGGAAGGAUAGGCAGGGCUGGUAGACUAGGAUAAUUCUAGGAAAAGGAAUGCAGAGAGGGUGUUACCAUUGAGGGAGAAGUCGGGACAUCACCGGUAAGCCAACACCACAUGAAUAUGCACAGAUUAAUAUAAAUGGGUUAAUAAUUAACAUAGAGCUAGUCAAUAAGUAACAUUUAAACAGUCAAACAGUUUAUAAUUGAUAUAAGCCUCUCUGUGUUUAUUUGGGACUAAAUCAAUGUGGGAAAAGGCAAGACAUAAACUUCUGUCUACAGUAAUUUGGAUUCAGUUACUUAAUAUCCAUUAUUUGAAUAGUUUAGACGUUAUGAUUUGGCUACUGUCUAUUAUGAAAGCUGUGUAUGUCUAUGAAUGUAAGUAUAAGUAUGUAGAAAAUUAUUUGACGUUCUCUAUUUGGAAAAGCAUCAACAGUAAAUUACUUUGAUUUUGAAAUCUUUAGACAAAAAUCUUUGUGCAGAUCUAGUAUCAGGUAUAUAUGACCUUCUAUGGGACAGUCUUUAAAUUAAUUGAGGAAAGGCCUAUCACUCUAAGAAUACCCAUGCAACUAUUUAAUCAGAAGACAUACCUUAUGAAGCAGGUAGGGUCUACAGCUAUUGUGAUCACUGAUAAUUUUCUCCCUCAACAGCCUUCAUAAAACCUUGCAGCAUGGUGAACACUAGCUGUCAGAGAGGAAGCUUCCAUCCAGGUAUCUUCAGCAGUCACAUCUUACUGUCUAGUUUUGUUUGGCAACAAAUAGAAAUGCUGAUAUCCUGUAUUUUGUGGGAAAUCUCUGUGGAUUUGUGGGGUGUUAACCCAUGCUUGGUACUAAGAUUAAUAUCUAAAAGCCCACAACUCUAAAAGCAAUAUUCCCACAUUGCAGAGCAUCUCCUGAAAGUAUUACAUGCUUUAUUAUUGUAUAGUUUCUUUAAUUCAGCACAAUAUACUUUAGGAUUUACCCAUACUAUGCAUAUAUCAAUACCUCAUUCUUAUUGUUUCUAUAUAGUAUUUCAUUAUACACAUAUUUUCAAAAAUUAUGAUAUAUUCAUGUGUAGGAAUUCUUAAGAGUUCCUGAAAUAAAACUGCUUGGUACUUUCACAUUCUAGUGUUUAUAAUGAUGUGUUACAGAUAAUUACAGUUAAUUUUCUAGGAAACUGAAAUUAUUUUCCUUAAAAUAUUGUUCCAGUUUACAUUUGUGAACCUAGUCUAUGCUCUGAUAUCUUCACAUUUCACACACAUCUGAGAAAUUAGAUGCUGUAAUUAGAAAUCAGUGCUAUGUCAGUGCAGUUUGAUUUUUCAUUUCAUUAAUGAUCAGUGAUGAUGAGCCUUUUAAAGCAGGCUUAUUUAUCUUUUUCAUACCCUUAGAGUUCCUGGCUUUCUAUAAGCAUGACAUUCUUGAGAAAGGAGUUGUCAAGGGAUACAGAGCUUUCAUUUUUGUUCCUUCAGGUUUUGAAUAUCAUAAGUGUUGAUCAAUGCAAGCUUUAAGUGUAUUACUGUCCUAAAAGUCACAAUAUUUCUCUACCAAAAAUGUAUGUCCAGUACCAUGACUUUACAAUACUUAGGCACAAAAGAAUAAAACUGAAAGUAUGAAUUUGUUUGUAAAUAUGCAGAGAAAUUAUUAUAAAUAUAUGUAAGAACUUAAAAACUAUUCAUUUCUCUUGUUAUUUGGUUUUCCUAGAUAGGGUUUCUCUGUGUAGCUUUGGAGCCUAUCCUGGCACUGUAGCCCAGGCUAGCCUCAAAUUCACAGAGAUCUGCCUGCCUCUGCCUCCUAAGUGCUGGGAUUAAAGGUGUGUGCCACCAAUGCCUGGCUCUAUUCAUUUCUUUACAAUAUAGAAACAAUGUCAGACAUGGGCCUCUAGUUGGAAAAUUAAUUGGCAAAAAAUCAUUGAAAUGAUUGCUGAUGAUACUCUUCUAUAUUCAUAGAUGGGAGCCUAGUCCAAUCAUUAUCGCAAAGGCUUCAUCUAAAAACUGAUGAGAACAGAUGCAGAGUUCCACAACAAAAAGUUAGGUGCAAGUUGGAGAACUCCACAAAAAUUAGAGGAAGAACUGUAGGAGCCAGAGGGUAUGAGGAUGCCAUAAGAACAAAGCCCAGAGAAUCAAUUAAGCAAGGCUCAUAAGGGUUUGUAAAGACUAAUAUGACAACAGGGAGCCUGCUUGGAUGUGAACUUGCCCUUCUCCAUAUAUGUUAUGGUUGUAUAGCCUUGUAUUUCUAUGGGACUCCAAACAAUGGCAAUGGAGUGUCCCUGACUCUUUUGUCUCCUCUUGGACCCAUCUCCUCCUCCUAUAUUUUUGCAUCCAGUCUUGAUAUGAAGGUAUGUGCAUACUUUAUUUUAACUUCUUUCUAGCUUUAUUGUAAAUUGUUAUUCUAUGUUCAGGUAAUGUCUCUGGGAUACCUGCACUUCUCUGAAGGGAAAAGGAGGGGUGAAUCUGGGGGAGAGGGGAGGUGGGUGAAGGGACUAGAAGACUAGAGGGAGGCGAAGUGUGGUCAUGAUGUAACAUAUGAGAGAAGAAUAAAUUUGUAAAUAGUGGGAAACAGGAAUAAGAUGAACUUGAGCUAUAACUUUAAUAUUUCUCAAAUUUAAAACAGACACGGGAACAUUUUGUUAAGGAGAAUCCUAAGUAAACAGGCACACCUGCAUCCAUCUCAGAAUUCAUGGCUGAACUUCCUCCUGCUGAUAAGGCCUCAGAGCACUAUGCUGAAAUACCAUAUAGGAAUUACAUUUUAAUAUACUGAUUAAAAUCACCUUUCCUAAUUAAUGUUAACAUCACUUGUUUUCUGUAUCUGAAUACCUAAAUAAUUAAAAACAAAAAGAAAAGGUAUUAUCUUUUUAGACUUCUACAAGAUUUCUUGUACCUCAUUAUCUCUAAACAUGUCCACAUUUAUCUUAAAAUAGCCACUUAUUGCAGCAAUUAAAAUAACAUGCAAAUAUUUCUGCUAAUUAGAAAGAAUGGAGUAAGAUGUCACCUCUCAUUUUGGACCAAGACAUUAAACCAAUCAAUGAUAUUUCUCUAUUAGACCUGAUCAUAAACAGAUUUUUAAAAGUUUACUUUCAUAUUUGUAUAAAUAUUUUGAAUAAUGGAGUGAUUAGCUCAAAUCUCUAUUUAAUUUUUCAAGUGUUUAAAAGAGACAUCUCCUUUUAAUUCUAUGCACAUGGGUUAACAAAAGUUAUCUCAUGCAUGUUUGACUAAUGAAAGAAAAGUCGUGAGUCAAACCACAUUGACUUCUCAGCUCACUUGUUCACAGACGCAUUCAUUUGUAAAAUCUAAUGAAAGUAUUGAAAUGAAAGAGACAAAGAGAUGCUGUAAGAGAGGUUUGGGGGAAACCCUGAAUUAAAGUUGAAACAAUAAGAUAACAAAGAAUUUUAAGAAAGCACAUGUUUUCUGCCAGAAAUCUUCAUACCAACUAAUUCUAUUGAAUUCCAUGCUUAUUAUUUCAUAAAAUUGGGUAGGGAUGAAAGAACUUGAUGAAAUGUGUUGAAGAAACAAUGCUUCAUUCUUACUGAAAUUUAGAAAUACUUACCUUGGGCUAUGCCUCUCCAUAGAAGCAGAAUAAUGCAGAACACACUUCAUUAAUUGAAAAUGAAAACGGUAGAACUGCCACACAGAUCUAAAACCUACUCUGUCCCUAGAGGACAAAAAGUAACCAAGUUCUAACAGCUUCUGUCUGUUUCCCUAAAUGACCUCUGUCCUCCCAUUAAAAAGCCUGCCAGAGCCAUCUACUGCUUGCUCUAGCCAAUACAAGACAAUAGGGCCCUGACCUUUCUAUCUUAGAGCGUUUAUAAAAAAGGCUCACAAUUAUAAAUCUUUCUUUUGUCCCUUUGAGAUGUAUGGGCAUUUCCGACAACUCAGAAGUGUCUCUCUGGAGCACCUGAAAGCCAUUGCUUUGAAAUGCAAUCAGCAGGAAAAAAAUAAAAAAAGAAAGAAAAAUAAAAGGAAAGGAGGCCUUAGUGUCCAAGACUCUGGGGACAGAACACAAUCUGCAUUUCCACAAUGGUCAGACAGAAGACACAGCAGGCCUCACAACAUCUACCCUGACCAUCUCUGUAAUCUCUAACUGCUAGGAGUCCAAGAUAGUGUUUGCCUCUUGCUCCUCCAUUUUCCUUCAAAUAUCCAAUCACCUCACUACAGUUCAGAAUAGAACUCAGGAAUUCUCAGGAACUAUCAAUAUUUACUGAGUAAAAUCUGUUUAUGCGCACUAAUAUUCAGCUAUGCUUCCUGUUAACAAAACAAAACGUCUAAAUAUUCACCUAGGAAUAUAUGACUCAAGUUACAUCCCAUGUUUGACCUCAUAUAAAGCUGCCAUAAUUUAAUUCAUUAGGAAUGUCCAGGGCGUUAAAAACAAUUAACAAAAUAAGCACACCAUUAGACCACCUAGUAAUUUCAUGGACUUGCUGAUCACAUUUAUUGUUUACCUGAAAAUUUGAGUCUUUAAAAGCAUAAAGGGCUAACAGUGAAGGAAUUUAGUCACUCAAUGGUUUUAAUAAAUAUCGGUGAGUAACAAUUUUCAAUUAGUUAUGAAAUGUUGUUAUGUGUAAAUUUGUUUUAAAUACAGUGCUUUAAUUGAAAAUACAAAUAUGCCACAGUCUUAUGAUUUUUGGUCACUAAUAAAUUUAUGUGGGAAUGCAGAAUAACAUUCAUAAAAUUUCAGAAUUGAGAAAGCCAAAAACUAUACUGCAUUUAAACCUUUUACAGAGAAAAUGCACCUAUGUAACAACACGCACAUUAUAGAGAAAGUCACUACAAACAUUACAUACACAUCUGACUAAUCUUUAAGCUGAUCAAACACAUACUUGCCCUGACACAUAAUUUCCUACAUCAGAACAUCCUGCUUGUAUAUAUUAUAAUUAUUUCAUUGAAAAUGUAGACAAUUUAAUCAUUUUAAGAACUGUGAAUUUUCCUCAGUAUAGGGAGUUAAUAACAAUAUAACCACCCUUACCUCUGGGAAUUCCAUGUUUUAUGUAUUUCCACAAAUACAGAAGAAAUGACAGUGAUCACCUUGUCUUUCCAGUGAGGUCAUUUAGUUUCAUAAAAAUACAUAGCCAAUAAAUAAAUAAUUUGGUCCAAAAAUCUGGACCUUCAUAAUUUGAAAUUUAUUGCUGGUGAUUUUUAAACAUCUCGGAAGGGAGAGAGAACUGGGAGUAACAUGUGUAAAUAGUUAAAUAAAAAAUUAUUAUAGGAAAAUUCUACUUCCAAUAGUUAAAGUAAAUGAAGCAUUAUUCUCCAUUCAGGGUUAUUACAACUAAUGGUUUAAGCUUACAGCUUCUUAUUGCUUAUUUCCAAUUAAUUUUCACUGCAUUAGUGGUUUCAUUCUUGUGACAAUAUCCCACACAAAAGAAGCUUAAGGAAUGAAUGGUAGGUUUAGUUCAAUGUUUGAAAAUACAGUCUACAAUGGUCAGGUGACAAGGCCAGGAAUGAAGGGCAAGUGGUUACCUCUUAGGAAUCAGGAGACAAAUGCUGGUGCUCAGCUAGCUUCUCCUUUUUAUCAUAGAAGGACCACAGCCUAUAGGAUGGUGUUACCCAUAUUCAGAGUAGGCCUUCCAUCCUAUCAUAAAUCCAUUCAGAGGUGAUUCUCCAAAAAAGUAGGAAUCAACCAUCCUACUUGUCCUGCAUUUUAGUCUCACUGGUUAUUAUCUCAUUCUUUCCUAUGGAACAUUAAACUUUGAAUCACUUAAUAAUUCUGUCCAGGUCAUCACUAAAUCACAUUUUAGUAUCUAUCAACAGUUCUGUGUGUAUUUAAAUGAUGACUAAUACUACAAUUAUUUAGGUUAAAAGCCACUAAAAUUUAUUAGUGGAAAAAAUGGGAAAAACCAAAUCAAUUAGUUACAAUUAGUCUUUUCGGUCUUUUGUUUGCCAUGAUAAUUCUGGUUUUCUUCAGUAAACUGUCAAAUUAAAUUUUUGAUAUUAAGUAAAACUCAUUUAAUUACAGCCAAGGAGAUCAUUUUAACCAUGAGUGUUAUUUGUUAUUCAAAUUGAUACAAUGCAUUUUUCAUUAGGUGAAAAUAGAUUUUUUUGUUUGUAAUAUAUGCUGAUUAUAGUUUCCUCUCCCUGUACUUCGUAUAGUUCCUCUGACAUACACACACAUCCAACUCUGUGCUCUUUCUGUCUCUCAUUGGAAUACAAAGAAGCUUCUACAGGAUAAUAAUGAUGUAAGAUAAUAAGAUAAAAACAACAUUAAUACAUUGGAAUAGGACAAAAAAAGAGAUGGAAAAUAGUUCAAGAAAAGGUACAAAAGUAGAUGUAGACACUGAUAUCCUCUUUUUCUAACACUCAAGCACCCAUAAAAGUCCUAGUUUUGAAGCCAUAAUGUAUAUGCAAAUAAUAGGAGAACUGGGGUGACAGAGUUUGUGUGUAAAGUAAAUAAAUUUAAAAAUAAAAUAAAAGCCCUGGCAUAAUAUUAUGAGCCAAGAAACCUCCAAUGAUGUUACUGUGUCUGUUUUCUGUAGUCGCUCAGUGCUGGGCAUGAAGCUUACUCUUAAGAGUUGUUUGUCUCCACAGUGGUUAUCAAUUGGAGAUGGAUUCUGGAUUACAGAUAUGGACAUGUGUCCUCUUUUCCUUUCACCUAGGACCCUCAUCUGAUGGAGACUCCUGCAGGCACUGGGCACGUUGCCCCAGGCCAUUCUAACUAUAUCUUCAGCAUGCUUCCAGAGUCAGGGAAAAAGAUCUGACAUUCAUGAGAUCUGGCUGUGUCUGCUUCCUGAAUGCUGAGAUUAAGGGCAUCCACCACCACCUCCCAGAAAGUUUUCAUAUUUUUUAAGAAGAAUGUUCCUGCUUGAAAAGGAGUUGGUUUGGACCUUAAUUCUCACAAUGGGCUCCAUUGUUUAGCCUCAAUACUGGAGAAAGUGCCUGGAUUUACUGCAACUUGACAUGCUGAGUUUUAUUGUUAGCCAUGGGAGGCCUACCAUUUUCUGACUAGGAAGAGGUGGAUGGUGGGGUGGAGAAUAGAGGUGGGGGGAAGGAACCAAAAGGGGAGAGGAUAGGAGAAACUAUGGUUAGGUUUUUAAUUAAUAAUAAUAAUAAUAAUGUCAUUUAAAAUAAAUAAACAAACAUUGCCAAUUCCAGUUAAUAUAAACAAGGCUUAACAAUAAGCAUUGUCACGUGUACAGGGAGUGAAUAAAUGUUUUCUUUAAACUGCCAUAUUAACCACAAAAAUUCAAAAUGCCAAACAUGGUGAGCCUUCUUAGAAUUAAUGGCAUUCUUAUGGCAAUAUUAUUGCACUAUUACAUGGGAAACAUACUAAUUAUAUAAAUUGAAAUGUGAAGGACAUGUCAGUAUUACCUGUUGCUGUUAAAUUAUGUCAAUGCUCUUUGCUUUUACUCAGCAAAGCAGACUUUUCAAUGUACUUGGCAGAAACUCAUGUUAAGUAUAUGCAACAGCCAUUUCUUAUAGACCAUCAUGUGAGAUAAAAAUUGUACAAAAAUAAAACAAGAAAAGGAAAAGAUGGCCCCUCCAUCUCUGUACUUGUAAUGAUAGUGCUUUGAAUGAGAUUCCCUGAUGCUGAAUACUUUACUUUCCCCAUAGAGUAAGUCUGCCAAAUUUGUGUGAUUUACAGAGAAGUGACCUCCUCCUCAUUGACUCACAUCAGUAACAUUUCAUGUUGAUUUUUACCUAAAUGAAUUUUAUGCAGGGAUUCUUGUUCAUAUCUAAAGAAAUCUACUCAAACACCACCUCAAAUUUAUUGUCUAGAAUCACUCCAAAAUAAUCAAUUAUUAGUCUUAUCUAAAGGACUAAUCCUUUUUGUACAUAUAAAGUGUAUAAUUUUAACAUUUUUGAUCAAUUGUCUUUGUAUAGUGUUUCUAAACCGCAGAAUUGAAGUGUAGAGAUGUGCUUUUUAAAUAAUAUCCAUUGUCUAGCAGGUAAAAUGAUGGUAAGUUUCAGUUGGAAGGAAACAUAUGCCCCAUUUCCUAGAUAUAUGUCACAAUGUUUCUAUGAAACUCUCACAUAUCCAUUCCAUCUGAGAUUCACAAAAACUCAAAUGUGCCAUUUUUUUCCUGGAAACUUUAGCUUACUACAUUCAGUUUCCACUUCUGUCCUAAAGGAGAAAUCAAUAAACACUUUGGAAUUCCUAUCCACUACUGCUCUGGAGUCUUCAGGAAAAGAAUUCACAUUGUACAAAUGUCUGGGGAUAUAGCAACAAAAUUUAUCUCUUUGGGCUAAAACACAUCAACUGAUAUAUAAUUUUCAAGUGUCAUCUAUUUUAUACUUAAAAAUAACUAAUGGGCAUGCUCCU
Mesocricetus auratus (golden hamster) is the source of this 8795-nucleotide long non-coding RNA. RefSeq lists it as uncharacterized. Lineage: Eukaryota; Metazoa; Chordata; Mammalia; Rodentia; Cricetidae. The transcript is spliced from 4 exons. The record is from RefSeq and is a predicted model, not a curated record.